This 185-nucleotide small RNA is filed under the name Arthrobacter sp. RNAcentral describes it as "c-di-AMP sequence". It matches the Rfam family "c-di-AMP riboswitch aptamer (ydaO/yuaA leader)". From Rfam's summary of the family: This family represents a conserved RNA structure found upstream of the ydaO and yuaA genes in Bacillus subtilis and related genes in other bacteria. The ydaO/yuaA element is thought to act as a genetic "off" switch for the ydaO and yuaA genes in its native state. The record is from RNAcentral. Lineage: Bacteria; Bacillati; Actinomycetota; Actinomycetes; Micrococcales; Micrococcaceae.
UCCUGCAAAUCGCCUAGCUCUGCCAUUGCCGGAGGUCCGUCCGCACCAUCGCAUGGCAGAGGCGGGGGAACCAAUUUCGGGUUUCUGCACAGAAAUCCUUGGGGUUAAGUCGCUUGCUCACGCAGCGGCCGGGUGACUCCCAUCCGAAUCCGACAGCUCACCUCGCAGGCGUUGGGAGAGGCAAU